This 24-nucleotide non-coding RNA is filed under the name Rattus norvegicus (Norway rat). The record is from RNAcentral. Lineage: Eukaryota; Metazoa; Chordata; Mammalia; Rodentia; Muridae.
UGGAUUUCUGGGAACCAGAUAGGU